UUUUGAAGAUAAUUAUUUGAC
RNAcentral lists this non-coding RNA (21 nucleotides) under Caenorhabditis elegans. Lineage: Eukaryota; Metazoa; Nematoda; Chromadorea; Rhabditida; Rhabditidae. The record is from RNAcentral.